Cotesia glomerata is the source of this 75-nucleotide long non-coding RNA. RefSeq lists it as uncharacterized. The transcript has 3 exons. The record is from RefSeq and is a predicted model, not a curated record. NCBI's taxonomy places the organism in Eukaryota, Metazoa, Arthropoda, Insecta, Hymenoptera, Braconidae.
AAAAAUUAAUUAAUCACUCUCUUAAAACAAAAGACAAUCAUAAAUACGGGAGCGGAAUAUCCCAGGGCAGUGGAC